RNAcentral lists this ribosomal RNA (253 nucleotides) under uncultured bacterium. RNAcentral describes it as "partial 16S ribosomal RNA". It matches the Rfam family "Bacterial small subunit ribosomal RNA", at positions 524 to 776 of the family's 1533-position model. The record is from RNAcentral.
UACGUAGGGGACCAGCGUUGUCCGGAUUUACUGGGCGUAAAGAGCGCGCAGGCGGUCGGUCAAGUCGAGUGUGAAAGCCCCCGGCUCAACUGGGGAACUGCACAGGAAACUAGCGGGCUUGAAUCCGGGAGAGGGAUGCGGAAUUCCCGGUGUAGCGGUGAAAUGCGCAGAUAUCGGGAGGAACACCAGUAGCGAAGGCGGCUCGCUGGGCCAUUCCUGACGCUGAGACGCGAAAGCAUGGGGAGCGAACAGG